AUCAUCUUGAUCCCGCUCUAAAAAGUUGUUUUAGCUUUUGCUCGGUCUUCCCUCAGGAUUAUAGAAUAUUUAAAGAGGAGUUGAUUAGGUUAUGGUCAGCACACGGCUAUCUUGUUCCUAGUGGUACAGAUAAUAGCAUUGAAGAUACUGGCGAAAGAUACUUUUCAAUUUUAUUGCAUAGGUGUUUUCUCCAAGACGUUGAGAAGAAUGAUAAUGGCGGGAUUAACUCAGUCAAAAUGCAUGAUCUCAUACAUGACCUUGCUCGAAAGGUAGCUGGGAUACUCAGUCAAAAUGCAUGAUUCUCUUAAUAUAGAAUAUGAUAUUGAUCGGGAUCAGAAAGGUCAGAAGAAAUUGCUGGAGUUCCUGUUCUGUAAUAGGCAAGCUCGGGAGUUAUCGAUUGUGGGCCUUAUUGGUACCGAAUUCGGCAAAUUGCCAAGUUGGGUGUCAGGGCUUGUGAGUAUCCGGUUAGAAUGUGAGGAGUUGCUAGAUCUGCCAUUAUCACUGAGUCAACUUUGCCAUCUCAAAUAUCUUACCCUUAAGAAUAUGCAGAGUAUGGAGUACAUAGAGAGUGAUGCCGAUGCAUCAUCUCCGUCUACGAAAUUCUUUCCGUGUCUUGAGGAUAAAGCAUCUCACCAACUUGAAUUUCCUCGAAAUUAGCAGAUGCGGUCAACUAGAAUCAUUGCUGGAAGAAAUGUGCCACCUCACCUCUCUCACUACACUUGUAAUACGUUAUUGCCUCGGACUGAAAUCACUGCCAGAAGCAAUAAAACACCUGACCUCCCUCACUACACUUGUAAUGGAACGUUGCCGGAAACUGAAAUCACUGCCAGAAGCAAUAAAACACCUUACCUCCCUCAAUACACUAGAAAUAAAAGAUCCCAGCCGUGAACUCAAGGAUAGAUGCCAGGAACCAGACGGGGAAGACUGGCUCAAAAUAUGCCACAUCCCUUAUAUAUAUGUUGAAGAUUUUUUGGAAUAUCAUAAGAAUCGACACUGAAAAGAAGAAGUCUAACCACUUGAGGUGAGGGGUGCAUUUCAUACCUGACUGACUGGCUGGUGCUAUUGAUCGCUAUUCAUGCUUAAAAAGAGAAGAUCUUCUGACAUUGAGAGAAACAAACUCUGUUGGCAAUGGUUAAUUGACAGUAACUUUUGAGCAGUAAUUAAAGAGAUAAAUUCUUGCUUUCUCUGAUGUAAAUACUCUCUAAAAGGAUAUGUGCUUAAAUGAUCACUGAUUGUAUUACUUGAUGCAAAAACCAUGGGAUUAUGUCGAAGACUCUGUAGCUACUUGGUAUUGAAUGUGGCUCAAUUCUGAAUCAAACAAGGGACGGUUUGUACACUUGUUGACUAGGCAAUUGACUCCUCAAGCAGAUACAGUUAUGGGAUUAGGACUAGAAGCAACCGACAUGGGGCAAGGGUGGUUUCAUACUUGACUGAUUGGCUGGUGGUAUUUUGUUGCAAUUCAUGCUCCAAAAGAGAAGAUGUUCUGAUGUAAUGAUAUCUAAAGAAACUUUGUUGGCCAUAGUUAUUGGGCAGAAUUUUGAAGUUGCAGAAAUCUCGAGCAGCAAAGAGAGCUUAUGUUUUAGUGAUAAGCUUGAGACUCCCUUGCUACUUGGUGUUGAAUGUUGCUAGCUCAAUUCUUAUCAGACAAGGGACAGUCAGUACACUUGUUGACUGAGUAAUGAACAUUUCACACCUACAUCUGCUCUGUAUCGUCUUAAAUAAGGCAAUCGACUCCUUAAGCAGAUACAGUUUUGGGGUUAUGACCAAUAGCUUUCGACAUGGGUUAGGCAAGGGUGAUCUUCAUACUUGACUGAUUGGAUGAUGAUAUUGGCUGCUAGUCAUGCUCCAAAAGAGAAGAUGUUCUGAUGUCGAAAGGUAAUUAAAUACAUAGUUCCUCAUCAAUCAAAUUUAACUGAUUUUAUGAUUUGUUUUGCCUUGGAAAUUAACCAUUUGCUCUCUGAUGUAUUUCCUGCAAAAUUCUGCUGGCAAUGGUCAUUGGGCAUUAAAUUUGAAGUCGCAGAUAUUUUGAGCAGCAAAGAGAUGAAAUAUUCUAGUGAUAAACUUGCUCCCUAAAAGGGGAUGUACUUAGGUGAUCGCAGAUUUUGUUACUCGAAGAAAAACCUUGGGAUUUGUGUUGGUAUGUAAUCCUUUUAACCCUCAACAAAGAGGAUAAAAAGGGGAAAAGAAAAAAAAAACAGGGGGAUAUUGGCUUGAAAAUAUCUGUCUUCGCGAUAUUUAAGAGAGAUUCCAUAGCUAGUUGGUGUCGAAUUUUGCUCAUGUUUGAAUCAGACAGGUGGUGGUCUGUAGACUUGACUGAUUGUCUGGUUUUGGCAUUGGUUGAAGUAUAUAUUGGAAUUGUGAGAAGAUAAACCAGUCUGAACUCUGAAGAGACAUUAUGUUGCAGUGGUUUCUUAAUGCAAUGGUUUUCCAUUUGUAAUAUGAAAUGAAGCCUUAGAACUGGAGGAUAAAUGACACUUAUUUGCUGCAGGCAGCUCUUAUGAUUAUAAUUAUUCCAAAGAGAAUGAGUUGGAGAUGCGAGAUGCAGAUUUACUGAUUUUCUGGUCACUCCUGCAACAUUCAUCUCUGCAUUACUGGGCAUAACUCUUAAAAGUGUUGUUAUGUGGACGUCUCUACCAUAGUUAUAUUUGAAGCCCUGAAGCAUUGGAUUCCUAUCGGUUUUGCUUAUGCUCUUGCCGCAUAAUAACUGGACGAGUUGAAAGUAACUAACGAAAAUAUUCCAGCUGCAUCCACACAGAAAUCCCUGACAACUCAGCUGAUGGCUAGCAAUUUCCCUGCCCUUGACAGUUUAUAAUGGAAUGGUAAUGCUGUUACUGCUCUGAAUGACUUAGGAGAUCAUGUUGCAAACUUGGGACCAUAAUGCUAACAAUUUUAGACUCAGCAAGUCAGCAACGGUGGUUCUAGCAGCAUGUUUCUGACAUUCAAUGCUCAUGUUAUUGGCCGGCUUGCUCGUGUUGAUAGACAUGGUGACCUGUUCCUACAUGAUGCAGUUGUACCUGAUGAAGAGAUGGUUCACUGAUGCACGAUAACCUGUUUUCAUUUGAACUGGAUCAUGGUUGAGUUGUUGCUGCGCGAUGCUACCAUAUCAGUCCCUAUCAGACGAUGCAGAGCUACCUACCUCAUCUUAGCUUUCUGUAAUUUCUUUGCAAAUUUAAGUGCUUGUGUUCUAGUUUUACGCUCUCACCUAACCACAUGAUGUGGGGGCAGUUGACAACCCUUCCUAGAAGGUGGGUUUUCUGUCCCUCUGAUGCUUUGUACAGGUGAAAAAAUCAAUACAACAAUGUUGCUUUGUGUAAUGCCUGAUGUUGAACUUGUAGUGUCUAAUGGUGUAGAUAUGUCUCGAACUUGUAGGCUUACAAUCGGGCUAUGUUUCUAUGUAUAACCUAUCACGAUUUACGAGCAUCAGAUUGAAUAGAGAGACCCACAAUUGCAUUC
Chenopodium quinoa (quinoa) is the source of this 3453-nucleotide long non-coding RNA. RefSeq lists it as uncharacterized. NCBI's taxonomy places the organism in Eukaryota, Viridiplantae, Streptophyta, Magnoliopsida, Caryophyllales, Amaranthaceae. The record is from RefSeq and is a predicted model, not a curated record. The transcript is spliced from 15 exons.